UGGGGAAUUUUGGACAAUGGGCGAAAGCCUGAUCCAGCAAUGCCGCGUGUGUGAAGAAGGCCUUCGGGUUGUAAAGCACUUUUGUCCGGAAAGAAAUCCUUGGCUCUAAUACAGUCGGGGGAUGACGGUACCGGAAGAAUAAGCACCGGCUAACUACGUGCCAGCAGCCGCGGUAAUACGUAGGGUGCAAGCGUUAAUCGGAAUUACUGGGCGUAAAGCGUGCGCAGGCGGUUUGCUAAGACCGAUGUGAAAUCCCCGGGCUCAACCUGGGAACUGCAUUGGUGACUGGCAGGCUAGAGUAUGGCAGAGGGGGGUAGAAUUCCACGUGUAGCAGUGAAAUGCGUAGAGAUGUGGAGGAAUACCGAUGGCGAAGGCAGCCCCCUGGGCCAAUACUGACGCUCAUGCACGAAAGCGUGGGGAGCAAACAGGAUUAGAUACCCUGGUAGUCCACGCCCUAAACGAUGUCAACUAGUUGUUGGGGAUUCAUUUCCUUAGUAACGUAGCUAACGCGUGAAGUUGACCGCCUGGGGGAGUACGGUCGCAAGAUUAAAACUCAAAGGAAUUGACGGGGUCAUAGCUGUUUCCU
Molecule: ribosomal RNA, 586 nt
Filed under: uncultured bacterium
Lineage: Bacteria
Description: partial 16S ribosomal RNA
Rfam family: Bacterial small subunit ribosomal RNA
Source: RNAcentral